UACGUAGGGGGCAAGCGUUGUCCGGAGUUACUGGGCGUAAAGCGCACGCAGGCGGUCGCGUAAGAGUGCGGGGACAGUGGGCGGCCUAACUGCCCAAGGGUCGCACAGACUGCGUGACUGGAGGGCCAGAGAGGGACCUGGAAUUCCGGGUGGAGCGGUGAAAUGCGUAGAGAUCCGGAGGAACACCAAUGGCGAAGGCAGGGUCCUGGCUGGCACCUGACGCUCAUGUGCGAAAGCCAGGGGAGCGAACGGG
Molecule: ribosomal RNA, 253 nt
Filed under: uncultured bacterium
Lineage: Bacteria
Description: partial 16S ribosomal RNA
Rfam family: Bacterial small subunit ribosomal RNA
Source: RNAcentral